Molecule: ribosomal RNA, 444 nt
Filed under: uncultured bacterium
Lineage: Bacteria
Description: partial 16S ribosomal RNA
Rfam family: Bacterial small subunit ribosomal RNA
Source: RNAcentral
GUAGGGAAUAUUGGGCAAUGGUCGGAAGACUGACCCAGCCAUGCCGCGUGCAGGAAGACGGCCCUCUGGGUUGUAAACUGCUUUUAUCUGGGAAGAAAAAGGCCAUGCGUGGCAAAUUGCCGGUACCAGAUGAAUAAGCACCGGCUAACUCCGUGCCAGCAGCCGCGGUAAUACGGGGGGUGCGAGCGUUGUCCGGAUUUAUUGGGUUUAAAGGGUGCGUAGGCGGCUGAUUAAGUCAGCGGUGAAAGACUUCGGCUUAACCGGAGCAGUGCCGUUGAUACUGGUUGGCUUGAGUGUCGGAGGGGUACAUGGAAUUGAUGGUGUAGCGGUGAAAUGCAUAGAUACCAUCAGGAACACCGAUAGCGAAGGCAUUGUACUGGCCGACAACUGACGCUGAUGCACGAAAGUGUGGGGAUCGAACAGGAUUAGAAACCCCUGUAGUCC